This 273-nucleotide ribosomal RNA is filed under the name uncultured bacterium. RNAcentral describes it as "partial 16S ribosomal RNA". It matches the Rfam family "Bacterial small subunit ribosomal RNA", at positions 524 to 796 of the family's 1533-position model. The record is from RNAcentral.
GACGAACCGUGCGAACGUUGUUCGGAAUCACUGGGCUUAAAGGGCGCGUAGGCGGACCGCCAAGUCCGCGGUGAAAUCCUCCAGCUCAACUGGAGAACUGCCGCGGAUACUGGAGGUCUCGAGGGAGGUAGGGGCAAGCGGAACUGUGGGUGGAGCGGUGAAAUGCGUUGAUAUCCACAGGAACUCCGGUGGCGAAGGCGGCUUGCUGGACCUUUUCUGACGCUGAGGCGCGAAAGCCAGGGGAGCAAACGGGAUUAGAAACCCCCGUAGUCC